GACGAACGCUGGCGGCGUGCUUAACACAUGCAAGUCGAACGGAAAGGCCCUGCUUUUGUGGGGUGCUCGAGUGGCGAACGGGUGAGUAACACGUGAGUAACCUGCCCUUGACUUUGGGAUAACUUCAGGAAACUGGGGCUAAUACCGGAUAGGAGCUCCUGCUGCAUGGUGGGGGUUGGAAAGUUUCGGCGGUUGGGGAUGGACUCGCGGCUUAUCAGCUUGUUGGUGGGGUAGUGGCUUACCAAGGCUUUGACGGGUAGCCGGCCUGAGAGGGUGACCGGCAACAUGGGGACUGAGAUACGGCCCAGACUCCUACGGGAGGAAGAAGGGGGGAAUAUGGAAAAAUGGGGGGAAGCCGGAUGCAGAAACGCCGGGUGCGGGAUGACGGCCUUCGGGUUGUAAACCGUUUUCGCCGGUGACGAAGGGUGAGUGACGGUAAUGGGUAAAGAAGAACCGGCUAACUACGUG
RNAcentral lists this ribosomal RNA (468 nucleotides) under uncultured bacterium. RNAcentral's name for it is "partial 16S ribosomal RNA". It matches the Rfam family "Bacterial small subunit ribosomal RNA", at positions 28 to 507 of the family's 1533-position model. The record is from RNAcentral.